UAAUACGAAGGGUGCAAGCGUUACUCGGAAUUACUGGGCGUAAAGCGUGCGUAGGUGGUUUGUUAAGUCUGUCGUGAAAUCCCCGGGCUCAACCUGGGAAUGGCGAUGGAUACUGGCAAGCUAGAGUGAGGUAGAGGAGAGUGGAAUUCCCGGUGUAGCAGUGAAAUGCGUAGAGAUCGGGAGGAACAUCAGUUGCGAAGGCGGCUCUCUGGACCAUCACUGACACUGAGGCACGAAAGCGUGGGGAGCAAACAGGAUUAGAUACCCUGGUAGUCCACGCCCUAAACGAUGCGAACUGGACGUUGGGCUCAAUUAGGAGCUCAGUGUCGAAGCUAACGCGUUAAGUUCGCCGCCUGGGGAGUACGGUCGCAAGACU
This 376-nucleotide ribosomal RNA is filed under the name uncultured bacterium. Its description in RNAcentral is "bacterial SSU rRNA". It matches the Rfam family "Bacterial small subunit ribosomal RNA", at positions 521 to 895 of the family's 1533-position model. The record is from RNAcentral.